GAGUCGGUGGUGCGACGGUUAGCAUACGCUCCCAGAAAGUGUGUGAUCUGGGUUUGAAUCCCGGCUGACGCA
This is a non-coding RNA of Parelaphostrongylus tenuis, 72 nucleotides long. NCBI's taxonomy places the organism in Eukaryota, Metazoa, Nematoda, Chromadorea, Rhabditida, Metastrongylidae. The record is from the annotation of a GenBank genome assembly.